RNAcentral lists this transfer RNA (73 nucleotides) under Ovis aries (sheep). It matches the Rfam family "tRNA". Rfam says of the family: Transfer RNA (tRNA) molecules are approximately 80 nucleotides in length. Lineage: Eukaryota; Metazoa; Chordata; Mammalia; Artiodactyla; Bovidae. The record is from Rfam by way of RNAcentral.
CUCCUAGUGGUCCAGUGGCUAAGAUUCUGUUCUCCCACAGCAGGGGGCCCGGGUUCGAUCCCUGGCUGGGGAA